This 292-nucleotide ribosomal RNA is filed under the name uncultured bacterium. Its description in RNAcentral is "partial 16S ribosomal RNA". It matches the Rfam family "Bacterial small subunit ribosomal RNA", at positions 505 to 796 of the family's 1533-position model. The record is from RNAcentral.
GUGCCAGCAGCCGCGGUAAUACAGGGGGCGCGAGCGUUGCUCGGAAUCACUGGGCGUAAAGCGUACGCAGGCGGACCGUUAAGUCGGGUGUGAAAUCCCAGGGCUCAACCCUGGACGUGCAUUCGAUACUGGCGGUCUCGAGUACGGGAGAGGUGAGUGGAAUUCCUGGUGUAGAGGUGAAAUUCGUAGAUAUCAGGAGGAACACCGGUGGCGAAAGCGGCUCACUGGCCCGAUACUGACGCUCAUGUACGAAAGCGUGGGGAGCAAACAGGAUUAGAUACCCUGGUAGUCC